CUUUUCUCCAAGCCAGAGACAUGGAGAGAACCUAGACUUUCCCAUUCUAACUUGCCAUGGAGUUUGGGAGAAUCCAGCCCAUUUACGGCACGGCUUCCAUCAGAGGAGAAAUGAAGGUGCGGCAAACGGAGGGAUCUCAUUCACGUUGUCACAUCUGGGAUCCCCAGCAUUCCAAC
Long non-coding RNA from Camelus dromedarius (Arabian camel), 176 nucleotides. RefSeq lists it as uncharacterized. The transcript has 3 exons. The record is from RefSeq and is a predicted model, not a curated record. NCBI's taxonomy places the organism in Eukaryota, Metazoa, Chordata, Mammalia, Artiodactyla, Camelidae.